GACGAACGCUGGCGGCGCGCCUAACACAUGCAAGUCGAACGAGCGAGAGAGAGCUUGCUUUCUCAAGCGAGUGGCGAACGGGUGAGUAACGCGUGAGGAACCUGCCUCAAAGAGGGGGACAACAGUUGGAAACGACUGCUAAUACCGCAUAAGCCCACGACCCGGCAUCGGGUAGAGGGAAAAGGAGCAAUCCGCUUUGAGAUGGCCUCGCGUCCGAUUAGCUAGUUGGUGAGGUAACGGCCCACCAAGGCGACGAUCGGUAGCCGGACUGAGAGGUUGAACGGCCACAUUGGGACUGAGACACGGCCCAGACUCCUACGGGAGGCAGCAGUGGGGAAUAUUGCACAAUGGGGGAAACCCUGAUGCAGCGACGCCGCGUGGAGGAAGGAGGUCUUCGGAUUGUAAACUCCUGUUGUUGAGGAAGAUAAUGACGGUACUCAACAAGGAAGUGACGGCUAACUACGUG
RNAcentral lists this ribosomal RNA (466 nucleotides) under uncultured bacterium. RNAcentral describes it as "partial 16S ribosomal RNA". It matches the Rfam family "Bacterial small subunit ribosomal RNA", at positions 28 to 507 of the family's 1533-position model. The record is from RNAcentral.